This 476-nucleotide ribosomal RNA is filed under the name uncultured Pelotomaculum sp. Its description in RNAcentral is "bacterial SSU rRNA". It matches the Rfam family "Bacterial small subunit ribosomal RNA", at positions 907 to 1382 of the family's 1533-position model. The record is from RNAcentral. Lineage: Bacteria; Bacillati; Bacillota; Clostridia; Eubacteriales; Desulfotomaculaceae.
UAGAAUUGACGGGGCCGCACAAGCGGUGGAGCAUGUGGUUAAUUCGACGCAACGCGAAGAACCUUACCAGGGCUUGACAUCCCCUGACCGCGUAUGAAAGUACGUUUUCACCCUCGGGUGACAGGGAGACAGGUGGUGCAUGGUUGUCGUCAGCUCGUGUCGUGAGAUGUUGGGUUAAGUCCCGCAACGAGCGCAACCCCUACGUUUAGUUGCUAACAGGUGAAGCUGAGCACUCUAGACGAACUGCCGUUGACAAAACGGAGGAAGGUGGGAUGACGUCAAAUCAUCAUGCCCCUUAUGUUCUGGGCUACACACGUGCUACAAUGGCCGGUACAGACGGAGGCGAAGCCGCGAGGCGGAGCAAAUCCGAAAAAGCCGGUCUCAGUUCGGAUUGCAGGCUGCAAUUCGCCUGCAUGAAGUCGGAAUCGCUAGUAAUCGCAGGUCAGCAUACUGCGGUGAAUACGUUCCCGGGCCUU